Molecule: small RNA, 28 nt
Filed under: Bombyx mori (domestic silkworm)
Lineage: Eukaryota; Metazoa; Arthropoda; Insecta; Lepidoptera; Bombycidae
Description: ovarian small RNA-37774
Source: RNAcentral
UUGAUUUUGACAUUGCUUAAAUUCGUGG